AUGGAACGGAUUAUGAUGCGCACAGAGAGUGAGCUGACCAUGAGGAACCUCAGAAACUUGAACCAGGAGCUCCAGGCUCAAGUCAAGGAGCUGAAGCAGAAGCUGUACCUGAGCCAGCAAAGGUCGAUGUUAUGCUCGCGAGCUGCAGAUGAGGCAGAGGAGUCCAGGGCGGAGGCAGAGAAGAGCAGGGCUGUGGCUGAGGCUCGGGCCCUGGGCUUUCAGCGGGACAAGGAUGCAGCUGAGGCUGACAGGGGACGACUGAGUGAAGAGCUGCAGAAGCUUAAAAAGGAGCACGCGAACGUGCAGCUUUUACUGGCACAAACAGAGAAGAACUACUUUGAAAGUAAGCUGAAGUUGGAUCGUGUGUCUGGAGAGAAACAGGCCCUCCUGCAGGAGAGCAGGAGCCUGGAGGCAGACAGAGAUGACCUCCGACACAAGCUGAGGAAGAUCACCCAAGAAAAUGUCCAAAUUAAAGAGAGGUAGAUACAUUUUAGUGACACCUGGCAACUGUGAUUGAUUUUCUUACAUCCCACUAAAUUAUCUUAAGUACCUCUCUUUUCUAAUUUUUGCUUUCAGGGUUUUCUUUUUUAUCAUUAAUGAAAAAUAGGAGUUGUUGUGCUUUUGUCCUAGCUUCUUCUACAUAAAUAAGAAGUUGUACUGCCUUAACAAGAAAGAAUUUUGAGUAGAUGAUUGAAGCAAUAAUCCAUCCAUCCAUCCAUUCGCUUCCACUUAUCCUUUUCAGGGUCGCGGGGGGUGCUGGAGCCUAUCCCAGCUGUCAUAGGGCGAGAGGCAGGGUACACCCUGGACAGGUCGCCAGUCUGUCACAGGGCCAACACACAGAGACAGACAAUCAUUCCCGCUCACAUUCACUCCCACAUUCACACCAAUAGGCAAUUUAGAUUAAUCAGUUAACCUAUCCCCACUAACUGCAUGUCUUUGGACGGUGGGAGGAAGCGGGAGUACCCGGAGGGAACCCACGCAAACACGGGGAGAACCUGCAAACUCCACACAGAAAGACCCCGGCCUGAUGGUGGAAUUGAACUCAGGACCUUCUUGAGUGUGAUAAAAAAAAAAACAACAACAACUAAUUAAAGUGGUAUUUUUUUUUAGCUAUUCAGAUUUUUUGAUCAAAAUGCAUUUUGAAACACCCAGUUCUUGGUGAUAUACCAAAUACACAAGCUCUUUUUAAAAAUCCCAUCUAAUGCUGGGAAUAUGGGAAAGAUCAAUUCUAACAUCAGGAUGUUUGCGGAUGAAAAUGUUUGUAUGUGUGUGUGAUUACUUUGACUUUUGCUUUUAGAGCGUUUUUUUUUUUUUGAUUUCCUAUUUAUCUUCAAAGGGAAUUUCCCAAAACUCAGUGUCAUUGUCCGUGACCGUCCAUGGUGCAACAAUAACAGCCUUUUAGCUGAUAGCGCUGAGAAAAUUCAAUUCAGCUGAGUCACAUCAGCAAGGCAGAGGAGGAGAAAGCAGAAACAAAGAGAAAAGUCACAGGAAGCCUACUUGACUCCAAGAAGUUCUGUACAAUAUAUAAAGGACUUUAAGAGGCUCUAAGUAAAAGUGUAGAAAGUCUGUAAAAGUGUACUUGUUUACCUUCACUGCACAGUUUUCACAUGAUCUCUGUGUUGUCCUGUGAACACAACACAAGAUGAUUCUUCUAAGAGUGUGAGGAACAGUACCAAAGACCAGGUGUGCUUAUUUUGCACAGACUUCGAGUCAAACAACAAAUACCUAACUGGAUGACACAGUUAACAAAAGUGCUUUAAGUACUCAUAGUAGAAAAGCACUAUAUAAGGACCAGUCCAUUUACCAUUUUCAAUUCACGUCUUAGGGAUUUUCUUUAUUGCUUUUCAGUAACUGCAGACCAGAAUGAGAGUACGCCUCACAACAGGCUGAAGACAAGACGGUUUAAAGAUUUAACUGGAUUUAGUUUAAAGAUGCAUGAAGAUCCGGUCUGGCUAUGAUGUUUUAGCAUGCAAUUUCAUCCUCUCCCUUUGCAGUGAGAUGAACUGGAAACGCAGAGCGACUGAAUCAGAAGAGGAGAGCAAAAGAGCUAACCAGGCUCGGCGGGAAGUCGAGGCAGAGAGGCAUCUGGCUGAGAAGGAGAGGCAGGAGAGAGUGGCCGAGUGCCUGAGCUGGAGGGAGAAGUACCAGGAGCUGGCUGACAUGUUUCAAGCUCAGGAAGACCUGAAGGCUCUGAGGCAGAAUAAAGCAGUAAGACAGCACACUGCUCUCACGCCCACUGAACAAUUACAAAACAGUGGACACUACACUGCUUUUGUGCCAUCUCCCACCCCUUAUCACCAAAUGGUCACAGUAGAAAUUAUUUGAACUGAGCAUAAAAUAUAUUGUUCAAAUGAUUAUUUCCAUCUUGUAAAAUGUCCCUGAGUGAUUCACUGUGGUACAAUACUGCAAGUCACGCAUUUGCAACAAGGCUGAAAGAAAAAAUCUUUGGUCUGUACAUUUUCAUCUCUUUAAAAUAAAAUCUUCAAGUGAAAUAUUUUUUUUUUCCAACAGUGUCAAGCCCACAUCAAAAGCUACUUCCUGUGCAUGACUGAAAGCGACCAGAGGGUUAAAAUCCUCAAAAAUCCAGAUGGCACUCCGAGAAAUUUCACAGUGAGAUGAUCCUACAUCUCAUAAUCACAAGAGAUCUGUGCAUGUCUAGGUCUACAAUACAGGACAUUUAAAAAGCAGCUUAUGUUAUGAUUUUUGUUCAGGAAGGAGAUCCUGUAUACAUCUCCACUCCAGAGUCCAGCGUUGAAGAGCCUGAAAGGAGUUCAUCUAGGUAAACAAAAACUGUGGCCACCAGGGGGAAGCCACACAAACUACAAUCGUUCAGACAUGGUAGCAACAUAAGAUUAAAAUUCUAAUUUACAAAGAAAAAGGUAAGUGUAAAGCUUUUCUCUGGCUGAAGACCACUAUUGAGAAUUAAUUGUGAACUGUAUUUACUCAGGACCAUGCUCAGGGUGACAGCUCCACACAUGGGGAGAGAUCUGGGUCCGAGUCACUUUGAUGAGCUGCCUGCCUAUGGAGGAGAGCGACCCGACUCAGGCCCUCUGCGCAGAAGCAGGAAGGUGGUGGAAUACUUUUGGAUUCCCACAGAUCAGGACUGACCACGAAUAUAACCAAAUGCUCCUGGGCACUUCACUGCAGUAGAGCUGCUGCUUGGAAGAUUCAAACUGUUGUUCAUGUGUGAAGUAUUUUACUGGACAGAUGGAAUAUGUAACCGUAAAGCAGAGUAAAUACAGGUAAACAGUAGGUGCUCAUGUACUGACUUUAUUGACAUUAAAGCAAUAGAGGUGCACAAUAAUUCUGAAUACCUUACAAUAAGACCCUAAUUGUAUGUCUUAUACAUAAUCAUGGCUUGAGAGUACAAUUCUUGGUUAAGCCUGAUGGUCAUUUGUUUAGCUUUGGGAGAAGGGAAAUCAAUUACAAUUUAUAGUUUGCCAAUUUAAAGAGCCACACAAAUGUAACAUUUUUUAUUAUUUUAAGACCUCAAUAUAAAAACCAACCUCAUCAGGGCCGCUUCAAAAUCUAGUCAACAUUACUCUUUUGAUAACUACACAUUUCA
RNAcentral lists this long non-coding RNA (3565 nucleotides) under Oreochromis niloticus (Nile tilapia). RNAcentral's name for it is "lncRNA (ENSONIG00000029515.1)". Lineage: Eukaryota; Metazoa; Chordata; Actinopteri; Cichliformes; Cichlidae. The record is from RNAcentral.